GGAAGCAGGGGAUCGUAAGACCUUGUGCUUUUGGAGUGGCCGAUGCCUGAUUAGCUAGUUGGUAGGGUAAUGGCCUACCAAGGCGACGAUCAGUAGUUGGUCUGAGAGGACGACCAGCCACACUGGGACUGAGACACGGCCCAGACUCCUACGGGAGGCAGCAGUGGGGAAUUUUGGACAAUGGGCGCAAGCCUGAUCCAGCAAUGCCGCGUGAGUGAAGAAGGCCUUCGGGUUGUAAAGCUCUUUCAGUUGAGAAGAAAAGGUUGUGACUAAUAAUCACAACUCAUGACGGUAUCGACAGAAGAAGCACCGGCUAACUACGUGCCAGCAGCCGCGGUAAUACGUAGGGUGCGAGCGUUAAUCGGAAUUACUGGGCGUAAAGGGUGCGCAGGCGGCUUUGUAAGUCAGAUGUGAAAUCCCCGGGCUUAACCUGGGAAUUGCGUUUGAAACUACAAAGCUAGA
RNAcentral lists this ribosomal RNA (462 nucleotides) under uncultured beta proteobacterium. RNAcentral describes it as "bacterial SSU rRNA". It matches the Rfam family "Bacterial small subunit ribosomal RNA", at positions 187 to 645 of the family's 1533-position model. Lineage: Bacteria; Pseudomonadati; Pseudomonadota; Betaproteobacteria. The record is from RNAcentral.